GGGCGGGUAGCCUAGCAGGACCAGGGCGCAGAGAAUCGCGAGCCUGAGGUCGUGGGUUCGAAUCCCACCCCGCCCA
RNAcentral lists this transfer RNA (76 nucleotides) under Candidatus Bathyarchaeota archaeon. RNAcentral describes it as "tRNA-Ala". It matches the Rfam family "tRNA". Rfam says of the family: Transfer RNA (tRNA) molecules are approximately 80 nucleotides in length. Their secondary structure includes four short double-helical elements and three loops (D, anti-codon, and T loops). Lineage: Archaea; Thermoproteati; Candidatus Bathyarchaeota. The record is from RNAcentral.